RNAcentral lists this non-coding RNA (28 nucleotides) under Cricetulus griseus (Chinese hamster). The record is from RNAcentral. Lineage: Eukaryota; Metazoa; Chordata; Mammalia; Rodentia; Cricetidae.
CCCAUUGAGGCAAAGAAUGAACUGAAAC